This 1372-nucleotide ribosomal RNA is filed under the name Anoplotermes sp. E1 TB-2017. RNAcentral's name for it is "16S ribosomal RNA". The stretch from base 889 to 1255 matches the Rfam family "Archaeal large subunit ribosomal RNA", at positions 2150 to 2716 of the family's 2987-position model. The record is from RNAcentral. Lineage: Eukaryota; Metazoa; Arthropoda; Insecta; Blattodea; Termitidae.
GCGAUUCGGCAUGAUCUGAUUUUAUUGAUUAUCUUGUUUUUACUUGAUGUUUUUUGAUUUAUUUGUCUGAAGAAUCCUUUGUGUUUUUGUAUAUUUGUGAUUUAAUUCCUUUUACUAUAGAUUACUUGUACCGUAGGGGUAUGUUUGUUUAACUUAUUUUUAAAAGCUGACUUUGUUUGUUGUACCUUGUGUAUCAGGGUUCAUUGAAUUUUAUUAUUUAUUUUUAUUUCCCGAUUUUGAAGGAGUUAAUGGUUUAUUUUGGUUAUUGUUUCAUCAAUAUUAACAAUAUAUCGUUGGUAGUGAAAUGUUAUUCGUCUUUAAUGGUUUCUGGUUUUCUGAGAAAUGAAUUCAAUUCAUGCUCUUUGUUUAAUUUUUACUUUUACUUUAUUCAUUUUUAUUUGGUGUUAAGAUUAGGGGGGAUUAGCUCUUUAUUUUAUUUUUUAUAAUUUUGUGCUUUAUUUAGUUUUGUGGAUUUUAUAUUGAUUUUCAAUUUGAUUAUGUUAAAAUUUUAUUUGGUGAUUUGUUUAUUUGUUUUUAAUUUAAUCUGUUUAUUAGAAUGUUUUCUUUAACUUUUUGUUUGGUUAGUAAUGAUUGUGUAAUUAGUAAAUUUCAUUUUAUAUAGUUUAUUCUGUGUGAAAUUCUUUUGAGGAAUUCGGCAAUAUUUCAUGCCCGCCUGUUUAACAAAAACAUCUCUUCUUGUUAGUUUUUGAAGUAUGGCCUGCCCACUGACUUUUUGUUGAAGGGCCGCGGUAUUUUGACCGUGCAAAGGUAGCAUAAUCAUUAGUUCUUUAAUUGUGAUCUGGUAUGAAUGGCUUGACGAGACAUGAGCUGUCUUAUGGUUGAAUAUUUGAUUGAAUUUGGUCUUUGAGUUAAAAUUCUUAAAUAUUUUUAUGGGACGAGAAGACCCUAUAGAGUUUUAUAUUUUAUUUGCUUUAAUUUUUAGUUUGUUUUAUUUUUAAAGUGGUUGUAGUAUUUUGUUGGGGUGAUGGGAGGAAUUUAUUUAACUCCUCUUUAUUUGGUAUACUUAUUUGUAUUGGUUUGAUCCAUUUAUUUUGAUUAUAAGAUUAAAUUACCUUAGGGAUAACAGCGUUAUCUUCCUUGAGAGUUCUUAUUGGCGGGGAGGUUUGCGACCUCGAUGUUGGAUUAAGGUUAAUUUUUGGUGUAGGAGCUAAAAGUGAUUAGGUCUGUUCGACCUUUAAAAUCUUACAUGAUCUGAGUUCAGACCGGCGUGAGCCAGGUUGGUUUCUAUCUAUAAUGUUGUUUAUACCUUAGUACGAGAGGACCGGGUAUUUGGAAUAAUUUUGUUAUUAUGAUUAUUAUUAAUGUUGUUGCUAUUUUGGCAGAUAAGUGCAUUGGAUUUAGAAUCUAUUAA